CUCCUUGUUUCCUUGUACCAAGAAUAGGCUUGUUGCAGUCUUGCUUUAAGUGUGGUCUACAAUCAACAGCACCACGUCAGACAGAACUAAUCAAGAAUGGAAUGCAUUUCCUGUAUACAUCACACAUUACUGACGGGACAUGUGAAUUAAUCAGUGCCCAUCAUACACAGGCUGUCCUGGACUAAACUUGAAAGGAAAUGUGAACAGAUAUGCAAAAAUAAAAUCAAUUUACAUCUUCCAUCAUCUGUAGUUCUUUUCCUUAAUACAAUUAAAUUACAUAUUUAAAAUAUGGAGGGUUAUUGUGUGAUUUUAUCUUUAAUUAUCAGUAUUUGAUAAAAAUGUUAAUUACUUGUUAUUUAUGAUUAAAGUCCAGAAACUACUUAAAUUCUUCUUAUU
RNAcentral lists this long non-coding RNA (396 nucleotides) under Capra hircus (goat). Its description in RNAcentral is "lncRNA (ENSCHIG00000000780.1)". Lineage: Eukaryota; Metazoa; Chordata; Mammalia; Artiodactyla; Bovidae. The record is from RNAcentral.